UACGAAGGGGGCUAGCGUUGCUCGGAAUCACUGGGCGUAAAGGGUGCGUAGGCGGGUCUUUAAGUCAGGGGUGAAAUCCUGGAGCUCAACUCCAGAACUGCCUUUGAUACUGAGGAUCUUGAGUUCGGGAGAGGUGAGUGGAACUGCGAGUGUAGAGGUGAAAUUCGUAGAUAUUCGCAAGAACACCAGUGGCGAAGGCGGCUGACUGGUCCGGAUCUGACGCUGAGGCGCGAAAGCGUGGGGAGCAAACAGG
RNAcentral lists this ribosomal RNA (253 nucleotides) under uncultured bacterium. RNAcentral describes it as "partial 16S ribosomal RNA". It matches the Rfam family "Bacterial small subunit ribosomal RNA", at positions 524 to 776 of the family's 1533-position model. The record is from RNAcentral.